CAGGGCCCUUUAUGUCUCUCU
RNAcentral lists this microRNA (21 nucleotides) under Mus musculus (house mouse). Its description in RNAcentral is "mmu-miR-7064-3p". The record is from miRBase by way of RNAcentral. Lineage: Eukaryota; Metazoa; Chordata; Mammalia; Rodentia; Muridae.